CAGGUGCUGCAUGGCUGUCGUCAGCUCGUGUUGUGAAAUGUUGGGUUAAGUCCCGCAACGAGCGCAACCCUUAUCCUUGUUUGCCAGCGAGUAAUGUCGGGAACUCCAGGGAGACUGCCGGUGAUAAACCGGAGGAAGGUGGGGACGACGUCAAGUCAUCAUGGCCCUUACGAGUAGGGCUACACACGUGCUACAAUGGCGCAUACAGAGGGCGGCCAACUUGCGAAAGUGAGCGAAUCCCAAAAAGUGCGUCGUAGUCCGGAUUGGAGUCUGCAACUCGACUCCAUGAAGUCGGAAUCGCUAGUAAUCGUGGAUCAGAAUGCCACGGUGAAUACGUUCCCGGGCCUUGUACACACCGCCCGUCACACCAUGGGAGUGGGCUGCAAAAGAAGUGGGUAGUUUAACCUUCGGGAGGACGCUCACCACUUUGUGGUUCAUGACUGGGGUGAAGUCGUAACAAGGUAGCGCUAGGGGAACCUGGCGCUGGAUCACCUCCUUA
This 499-nucleotide ribosomal RNA is filed under the name Vibrio vulnificus. Its description in RNAcentral is "bacterial SSU rRNA". It matches the Rfam family "Bacterial small subunit ribosomal RNA", at positions 1035 to 1533 of the family's 1533-position model. Lineage: Bacteria; Pseudomonadati; Pseudomonadota; Gammaproteobacteria; Vibrionales; Vibrionaceae. The record is from RNAcentral.